This 229-nucleotide unclassified non-coding RNA is filed under the name plant metagenome. RNAcentral describes it as "partial contains small subunit ribosomal RNA, internal transcribed spacer 1, and 5.8S ribosomal RNA". The record is from RNAcentral.
UCUCCGUAGGUGAACCUGCGGAGGGAUCAUUACAGAGUUCAUGCCCUACCGGGUAGAUCUCCCACCCUAUGUAAUUAUUACUUUGUUGCUUUGGCGGGCCGUUAGGCUCCGGCCCGACUACCGGCCCCGGCUGGUAAGCGCCCGCCAGAGGACCCAAAACCCUGAAUAUUAGUGUCGUCUGAGUACUAUAUAAUAGUUAAAACUUUCAACAACGGAUCUCUUGGUUCUG